CUGAUACUGAAAUUACAGUAUUCAUCAUCUAAACUGCUCUUCCAGCUUGGACAUUACCUAGAUCAGUAUCAAACCCACAGGGCUUUUCCUUUCUGCAUUCAGUCAUGGAAUGAAAAUGCCUCACUCCUGAAGCAUUCCUGCGGUCUGCUGCGAUCAGCAGAGUGCUGUGGUUGUGUGUCGGAGCCCACGCCCCAAGCCAUGUCUUUUGGAGUAUUUUUACUGCCCUGAAACUGCCACUGCCUCUGUGCUCUUGGCAUCACAUGACAGGAAUUAUGUUUGACAAAAUCUGCCUGCUGUAAAUUACCUUGUACAACUAAAUGAUACAUAAGUAAGGUCUAAUAAUGGCAAGACGAAAAGCUGCUCCGAAACACUUCUAUGCAUCUUUCAUAAGAGUACUGGAGCUCACAAAUCCAUUCUGCUCUUGAUCUUGAAGAUACUUCUUACUGAGCAGUUUCACUGGUGUAACUAACAGAGUGUGUAGACAUGGACACGCUCAUUAGGAGCUCAUUAUGCUUGGUGUCCGCUCCAUCCCAUACUGGUUAAUGUACUCCACCGGUGCCCUUUAUCUCUCUACCACUUGUUCCUCAUUGUGCUGGUGGACACUCACAAGGCACUCUCACCAAAACUCAUGAGUGUGGUGUAAACAGUGAGCUGCCGCUCUGGCUGCAUUUUCAGAUUUUUGGAGUGGGAGAAUCUUUGCAAAUGUCAUUUUAGUUUCUAUGAUGCCUGGAUAUUAGUUUUCUUAUACAUGUGUACAUGGGUAUAAAGUUUACUAAUCUUUUGAUGCCCACAACUUUCCCGUAUUUUUAUAUGGAAGCUCUGGAUUUUUUAAUGUGGAUACAAGUUGAUUAAAUGAAUCAUUAUAUGAAUGAAAUAGAAUUGCAGGGAUUGGAAGGGACCUCAAGAGAUCAUCAAGUCCAACCCCCCUGCUAAAGCAGGUACCCUACAUUAAGCCAUACAGGCAGGUGUCUUGAAUAUCUCCAUAGGAGACUCUACAACCUCUCUGGGCAACCUUUUCCAGUGCUCCAUCGCCUUUACUGUAAAGUUCUUCUGCAUGUUAGUGCAGAGCUUCCUGUGUUCAAGUUUUAGGCCAUUACUCCUUGUCCUAUUGCUACACACCACGAAGAAGAGCCUGGCCUCAUCCAUUUGCCUCCCACCUCCCUUUAGAUAUUUAUAGAUGUUUAUCCUUCAAAGUCCUCUUUUCCCCAGGCAGAACAGAUGCAGGUUACUCAGCCUUUCCUCAUAUGGGAGAUGCUCCAGGCCCUCAAUCAAUUCAUUGAUUUGAUUUGAUGGAGUUGGAGUGGGGCAGACUGCCCUCUUGUACUAUGGUGGAAGACCAACAUAACCCAGUGUCUAUUUAUACACUGAUACCUGGAAACGUGUCUGAUAGUUGCUUGGCAAACAGCACUUGUGGGUGUUUUCUGCAUCUGUUUCUCACUUACCAAUAUCUGCUUGAUGAAUCUUGGGAGCAAAAAUACUCUUUCAAAUCAGCUGUGUGUUGUUCACAACUGAACCAGUCUUGCUACUGCAUCUUUAUGAUGGAAAAUGGUUAUGCAAGACAGUAGAGAUGACAUAUAGUUUUCUGUCUUUUUGUUGUAAUUCUGAGGGUGUUUAAACCUCAGGUCAUGCACUCUUCCUUCCAGAGAAGCUACUUGCUGUGUUUCCUUUAGCAACUACUUUAUUGCUGAGGUUGGAAGUGCUGUUCUGCUGUGGGACACAGCAGUUUUCUUAGGUAGCUCCAAUGAGCAAGUACUUUAGCACCAAAGACUAUCAAAAUUAAGUUUAAAUUAGAUUUAGAUUAGACGUCAGUGAUAAAUUUUUUACUGAGAGAGUGAUGAGGCACUGGCACAGCUGCCCAGAGAAGCUGUGGUGCCCCAUCCCUGGAGGCGCUCAGGGCCAGGUUGGACAAGCGCUCAGGGCCAGGUGGGGGACAGCCCUGCCCAUGACAGGGGUUGGGGCUGGGUGGGCUUUGAGGCCCCUUCCAACCCAAACCAUUCUGUGAUUCUAUGAAAAUUACUUCAACUCUGUUGAAGGUCUUGGCAGAAAGGCUAAGAACUUAAAAGAUUUGGAAGCAGAUGUUGAAGUCGAACUCACAGGGAAAUUAUUAUGAAAGGAUAAUUGCACAGAGAAGGCGUGUGUGUAGACUGGAGGUGGAUGGUCCAUUUUUUGACAGACAACUUUGGGUCAUUUGCUGCUUUCAUACUCUCUUCCUGUUGCUAUGGAAAGCUCACUCUUUUACCAUAUGCUGUACUAAAAGUCAGACAAGGAGCAUCCUGGGUCAUGAGAGAGGCUGUCAGGGUUUCAGACUCUGUCCUAGCUGAUAUGUUAUCCCUUCUUGUGGCAUACAACACAAUUGCUGUGCUAGACUGCAGGGUCCCUCUCUGUCUGCAGCACUGUUGUAUGCUGUGCUACACGUUGGCAGAGAAAAUCCAAUCCUUUCUUUUAUUCGCCAUGGCAGAAAAUACCAGCUGUAGUGCUUCGAAUUUUUGCAAGUCACCCAUCGUGAAAAAGCAAGGCUGACUGUUUCCAAAAAGUGAAGCUGAAAAACAAAAAUAGAUAAUCUGUCCUUCCUUGCAGUACAAUGUGCCAGAUAUUUGAGCCUUGUGGAGAAAAAUGGUAUGAAUUGCAUGGCUAGGGACUUAAUAAUUCUUAGAAAUGAAUCAUUGCUGUCUGAGUUUCUAUGGGAACGGAGAAAUAAAUGAAUAAUUAGGCUAUUUUCAAAUUAAUUCUAUCAGAAGAUCCAAAUGUUGUGCAAUGGUUAGAAGUAUGCAAAGGAAUAAAUCAUAUUAUUUGGGUUUUGCUAGUUACUGUUCCUGUUGUUUUUUUUUAAAGUAUGUUUUAUACAACUUAGUCACAAAACCUUUAAACUCAAGAGAAACAGGACAUUUGGCUGUAAGUUCAGAACAAUGAACUCAUGAGGUUUAUUUUUAUAUGCAAGUUCAACUUGGAUGCAUGCCAUGUAACACAAAAAAUUACCACUGAAUGCCUCUUCUUUUCUCUCCUAAAAUGAUGAGGGCAUCUGGAUCCCAUUUUAAAUUGCAAACUAGGCUUUUUGGCUUUUUAAAACAAUUUGCAUAGCUUGAACUAAUUAAUUCUUUGGUUGAUGUGUAGGCAGUAAAAGACAACAUGACCCCAAGCAUGAGGAGGUGAGGGGGAAAUGCGUGAGUUUUGGCAUUUCCUUGCUUUUGCAAGCUUGAAUUUGCUACUAUAACAUUUCAAUGUAAGUAGGCCAUAUGAGUAGCUGAUGUCAUCAAAUAAUACCAGAAGGAGACCCCUAGGAUAAGUUAGGCAUGUUUUCCAGCAUCACAAACAAAUGUUUCAAGAGCCUAAAUACACAGCCCGACGUUCUCUUAGUUGCAUAAAGCCAACAGCCUCAACCAGCUGCAUCUGUCCUGUGUGAGUUAAGAUCUAUUUACUUCAGCCCCUGAAGAGCUUGUGAGUUCCUAAUGGUAGGGGCCUGGCUUCUGUGAGCUGCAGUAUUGCUGCUAGUACUGGGCUGAUGACCCUCAGUUCCAGGUAGCUCAGUACCUAAUGCUGCCUGAAUAAUUUCCUCUCAGAUUUUGUAGUGAUGAUUUUCUCUCUCCAACAAAAAAAGUCUUUUCAAGCGGCUCUCAAUUGCAUUCAAGAAUGACUCUUCUCCAGCCCAAAGAAAGUUUGAUGUCUUACAGCAGAACUAUCAUCAAAUCAGGUGUUACAGGAAAUCAGAACGCUUCAGCUGUAUGGAAACCAUGAGAAACAGAAUUUCUACUCUAGUUGAAUUUAUUUUCCAUGGAAAUGAAGAAACCUGAACUACAGCCCUCCAAACUCUAGUAUGAGGUGUGUAAUUCUAAAAGAGGCAUCUUGAAUUAGGUCUUGCCCAGGUUACAGUGCUUUGCAGUGGAUGGCUGGAGGAGAGCUUACCUAAUGAGUGCAGCAUGAACAGACUGUUGAGGUGUUUCCAUGAAGCUCUGUAGGAACCCAGUUCUCUACAAAUCAUUUUGGCUUCACGAUACAAGUUGUUUUGCCAAAAGUGUUCUGGUGUUUUUAUCUUGCUAACCUUCAACCUUCUACGUCAUGCAGAUCUUCACAGACAUCUUAGCCACUAUUAGAGCUUGUUUUCAGAAGGUGGCAAGAUGCAUAUCCUGAAUUCCAAGAACUGGCGAAAGACUCUUGCUGGAAGAAAAUGUUUCUGGAUUUCUUUUCAACUUGGACAAAGACAUUUUUGUUCUGUGCACACAGAAGUGAUUAAAAACGUUCUGAAGUAGGUUUCUUUGAAGGAGAUACUUACCUGGCACUUGGAGUGGGGGAGCAGCUCAAUGGUACACACUGAGCUGGACAAGAGGCUGUGGUGUUCAUCGUCCUAUGAUCAUACCAAAUGGAAAUGGGCUCCUGCUCAAAGCACACUUAACUAAUGGUAGUGCUGCUGAUGCUGCCUAAAGCAGCUGUGCUGUUCCUGAGAUCAGAACUGCCAUUGCAGAAAUGAUGGAUGGCAUUUAAUGAGCAAAUGAAUCAUAGAAUCACAGAACAGCCAAAGGACCAUCUAGCACCAUGUCCAAUCACAUCUUGAAAGCCUGCAGCAAUGGGGGAUUCCACCACAUCCUCGGGGAGGUUGUUCCAGUCAUUGACUGUUUUCACUCUGAAAAAUUUCAUUCUGAUAUCAAGGUGAAGCCUCUCCUGGUGCAUCUUGAAUCCAAUGCCCCUUGUCUUCUCUGUGUUGCUCGCUGUGAAGAGACAGCCUCUGUCCUCUUUGUAGCAACCCUUCCAGCGCUGAAUACAGUACUGAGGCCCCUGAGUCAUCUUUUGUCAUGGGUAUAAAGACCUACCUCCUUCAGUCUGUCACCAUACGGCUUCUUCUCCAGCCUUUUGAACAAAUUUCAGGGCCUAAUUUGAAUGACCCCCCCCAAUUUGUCCACAUCUUUUUUUUUCUUUUUUUUUUUUUUUUCUUCCCUUCCCAUAUUGCAGGAUCCAGACCUGGACACAGUGCUCCAUGUGUGAUCUGACAAGCACUGAGUAGUGUGGGAUGAUCACAUCUCUAUCUCUGCUGAUAAAGCUCCCAUAGAUGCAGCCCAGGGUGCAAUUAGCAUCCCGUGAUUGCUGCUGACUGCUGGUCAGCUGUGGUCCCCCAGGAUCCCCAGGUCUCUUCCAGCAAGGCAGCUCACAGCCACACAGAUCCCUGCCUGUGCCGGGCUCUUCAGGUGCACUGUCCCAGGAGCAGGACCUGGCUCCUGUGUUUGUUAAGCAUCACACAGCUCUUGCCUGCCUAUUCCUCCAGCCUGGCCAAUUGGAUACUAAACAAAAUAAAAAGUGGUAAAACAAAAAGUAUUCUUUCAAGACCUGGGUGCUCUGCAUGCCCUACCAAUGCUGGUAGGUACUUAACCUCCCUCAUUUUCCCAACAGCAUCUGGAGGGAGUCUUCAUUGCCUCCCCGUUAGGGGUAAUGGCUAACUAGUAACAGCCUGUGUGCAUGAACAUCACCCACCCAGAUCCCAACCUAGCCAUUCCUACAAGGCCCAGGAAAUGUUCCUCAUUCUCACUCAUUCUUACAGGAAAUAAAGCAAAUCUCAGCUCAGUCCUUACCGAUUUUCCUAGUCAAAACCAUAAGAAAACCAAACAGGCCCAGUAAAGGAUGGCUGGCUACACCUUAGCUGUUGCUUAUCUGUGAGACAAUGGAGUAAAUCAGAUAAAUCUAAGGGAAAAGGAGGGGAGGGCUGUGCUCCUUACUGUUGUUCAUUUAGCUUAGGUGAGUGCUGGAUAUUGCUAGAUGCCUUCAAAUUUCAAUUUUUAAAGAUGUUGCUGAAGGGGUGGGAAAGCAUAUAUGAGAAGGAGUGUGAUUGAUGUGAACAUUCUUGCCUAUUUCACUUCACUUGUCCAUCUUUUUCUCACUUCUGAGGUUUUGUUACCUCUAAUAAAAACACACAUAUUGCUGGUGAUUCUGCUUGUGAAAAAAAAAAAAAGAUAUAUUUGGCACAUGAGAAUGGUCAUGUGAAGUCAAAGAAGACACAGAACUCUCCUGAUUAAUGUAUUUGUAUAAUUAUUAAUUCUGUAAACUGUCUCUGGAAUCUAAAAUGUAAUAAGGCAGAUGUCUUUUCUCUUCUAACCUCUUGUGCUGUGAGGACAAAAUCUCAUGAAUUUUUCGUGACUCUCCUGAAUCGAGUCUCCUGAAUAAAAUUAAUUACUUAAAAAAAUUGCUCUCUGGGAGACCUAAUUCUCUUUUAUUAUGAGCUGCUGACAUAUUUCUCAUCUGUUGUUGAGACAAAUGAUUUUUGAAUCUUUACUUCUUUUUCCUCAAAAGCCUGCUGCCUUUCCAGAGAGAUUUUCAAGAAGCAGUGACCCAGAAUCUCUCAUUUCUACCUUUCUAAGUUGUCUUCAAACGUAAGAGCAGACUGCUGGCUAGGAAGAGCGAUGUUUGCACUCGUAAGGGAGGUGGCACUACAGGAGUGAGUCAGGGUGUGGGGUGUACAUGUCUUUGUGCAAAAACUAGGAUUAAAACUAGUCCUUCAAGCUGCCUGCUGUGGUGAGAAGGGAGAGGGGUAGCAUAGCAGCACCUCUGUAUGGAGGUUUGAGAGCAUUGCUUUAUCACUGAAUUUAUUCUGUAUUUAUUUAUUGGCACUGAUUGCCAAUCAUCUUGGCAUCUUCAGGGAGGUCAACCACCUCCUGGGACUGGCAGGUUCAGCAAGGGAGGAGGGCAACAGAACUGAAAAUGGGUCACAGAAGUUCCCGGUGACUUUAGACUUUCCUAGGCGUGUGCACAUUUAAUAAAUGCAGUCAAACCUUGUGGUGAUGUGGCUUACUUACCAUAGAAUCACUAGUGUUGGAAAAGACCUCUAAGGUGAUCUAGUGCAACCACCAACCCAUCACACCAUGCCCACUAACCACGUCCAUCAGUGCCACACCCACACCGUUCCUGAACUCCUCCAGGAUGGUGACUCCACCACCUCCAUUGGCAGCCUGUGACACUGUAUCACCACUCUUUCUGAGAAGAAAGUUUUCCUAAUAUCUAAACUGAAUAGUGAAUACUGGAGCUUAUAAUAAAAAAGAAUCAGGUCUUCCAGAGGGCAAUUUUCAACUAUAAUUGAUUUUAUUCAGUAGAGUUAUCUGUUACUUCUUGAUUCAGACCUCAGCAUACCCUCCAGGGUAUGCAGUAGUCUACAUACUAAUAUAAUCUGGAAUGGAAGUUGUGUUUCAGUUUCUCCUGCAGGGAAUGUGGCUUACAUGUACCAGGGACAGUCUACAGACUGGCCCAACGCAUGGCAAGUUUGACAGAUAGUUGCUUUACUGCUGGGGACUACAGUAGCCUUCAGACACACUAAGAAGCCCUUGUGAUGUGGAGUUAUUAGUCCAUGUGCUUUAGAAGGUCAGAACCUGAAGCACUAGACUCUUUGUUAGCAUGUAGUUAAUUACCAUUCAUUUGAAAAUACUUUUUUUCCCUCAAAUAAGUUAAAAUAAUAGAAUAAUAGAUAAAAAAACAUGUAUUUAUUUAACCAGGUUUAUUUUUUAUUAUAUUUACAUAUUUAACUAGUUCUUAAUUUGAAGCGCUCAAAACAGUUCAGCUUGCUUCAGUCCUAUACAUUUUUUUUUUAUAGUUUUAUGAACUGUGCAAUCUUCAGACCUUUGCAAUAACUUCAUACCUCCACCAAUAUGCUUUGUUUCAGUGUGUCCUGCUACAGGGAGGGUGUGCCAGACAUCUUGUUCAACACAACCAUAAAGAGACCUGAAAGGUUGUGUUCACUGCCUUCUAUCUCUGACAGAUAGUAAGUUGCCUUUAACGUGGCAAAAACUUCAAGUACAUAGGUGUAUGACACUAGCAGACAUCUCAUGAGUGGCACAGGUUUGUGAGCUGCCACUCUAACCCUGAGACAUAUCAUGCAAUUAAGUGGGUCAUAUGAGGCAACAAGGCUGCUGCUAAAAUUCUGUGCUGAGGUCUUCCCAGUUGAUUAAAUUAAAGAUCUGCCUCCUUUGUGAUGUUCAGAAGUACUCGGUUUCAUGCAUUCCCAGGUGGGAUUUGCAUCUGCUCCAUUAGAAAUAAGACAGCUUUGUCUUUUCCUUGCACCAACAUGCAAAGAAGUUUUUUUUUUGAAAAAGGAAAUCUAAUUUAAAACAGUUAACACAGUCUUUACAACUGAGUCACAUUUCUGGUCAUUUCAUGUUUCUCACGUUGUGUAAAACAAUAAAUAACUGACUCAAGAUUGAGGUUUCUGCUCCUGGAGCCAGGCUCCCCAGCAGUAGAUGAGCUAUUUAGUAUCACAGAGUUUAAGACCUUUUUUAAAAG
This 8247-nucleotide long non-coding RNA is filed under the name Gallus gallus (chicken). Lineage: Eukaryota; Metazoa; Chordata; Aves; Galliformes; Phasianidae. The record is from RNAcentral.